This 513-nucleotide ribosomal RNA is filed under the name uncultured bacterium. RNAcentral's name for it is "partial 16S ribosomal RNA". It matches the Rfam family "Bacterial small subunit ribosomal RNA", at positions 28 to 523 of the family's 1533-position model. The record is from RNAcentral.
GAUGAACGCUGGCGGCGUGCCUAAUACAUGCAAGUCGAGCGAACAGACGAGGAGCUUGCUCCUCUGACGUUAGCGGCGGACGGGUGAGUAACACGUGGAUAACCUACCUAUAAGACUGGGAUAACUUCGGGAAACCGGAGCUAAUACCGGAUAACAUGUUGAACCGCAUGGUUCAACAGUGAAAGACGGUCUUGCUGUCACUUAUAGAUGGAUCCGCGCCGCAUUAGCUAGUUGGUAAGGUAACGGCUUACCAAGGCAACGAUGUGUAGCCGACCUAAGAGGGUGAUCGGCCACACUGGAUCUGAGACACGGUCCAGACUCCUACGGGAGGCAGCAGUAGGGAAUCUUCCGCAAUGGGCGAAAGCCUGACGGAGCAACGCCGCGUGAGUGAAGAAGGUCUUCGGAUCGUAAAACUCUGUUAUUAGGGAAGAACAAAUGUGUAAGUAACUAUGCACGUCUUGACGGUACCUAAUCAGAAAGCCACGGCUAACUACGUGCCAGCCGCCGCCGUAA